This 365-nucleotide ribosomal RNA is filed under the name uncultured bacterium. RNAcentral describes it as "partial 16S ribosomal RNA". It matches the Rfam family "Bacterial small subunit ribosomal RNA", at positions 338 to 700 of the family's 1533-position model. The record is from RNAcentral.
CCUACGGGUGGCAGCAGUGAGGAAUAUUGGUCAAUGGGCGCGAGCCUGAACCAGCCAAGUAGCGUGAAGGAUGACGGCCCUACGGGUGGUAAACUUCUUUUAUAAAGGAAUAAAGUGAGGCACGUGGGCCUUUUUGGAUGUACGUUAUGAAUAAGGAGCGGCUAACGCCGUGCCAGCAGCCGCGGUAAUACGGAGGAUCCGAGCGUUAUCCGGAUUUAUUGGGGUUAAAGGGAGCGUAGAGGGGUUGUUAAGGCAGUUGUGAAAGUUUGCGGCUCAACCGUAAAAUUGCACUUGAUACUGGCAGUCUUGCGUACAGUUGCGGUAGUCGUACUUCGUGGUGUAGCGGUGACAUGCUUAGCUCUCAC